UCCAUAGCUUUACCUUAGCAUGACUAAGUCCUGCUGAAUUUCAUGGAUAGAGGAGGUCAUGGUAGCAUUCAUGGAUAGAGGAUGCUCCCACUUCAUGGAUAGAGGUCAUGCUAGCAUUCAUGGCAUAGACAAGGUCUAGGGAACUCAAAGGCUACUGACAGCAUUGGGAAAAGGCCACAUGUGGAUAAGUGUGGAUAAUUCCCACCCCCUCGGCCCCCUGUUAAUGUGGGUGAAAACCUCUGUUUUCCUUAUGAAACCCCAGGAAUUGAAAGCAGAAAGAUCCCUCUCAAAACCUUUAGGGUUCCUAACCUGUGGUAAGUAAAGAAUGUUACUUUCUAAUAGGCCCAGGAGACCCAUGUUCUUGAGACCUCAAGAAAAGAGGAAUUUACUCAACUCAUAGGUAUUUGAGGCUACCAACCCAUGGCUGGCCUCAGCUGUAAAAGGUCUUAUCUGAGAUUCCGUGGGGAACAGGGUGUCAUUAAAGCCGAUUUAAAGGCCUGUGUGAAAAACAAUUACUCAUGCUGCACUUUACGCAAAUAAUCAGGCCAAGUAUAAGACUAAGGUUUAUUUUACAAGCAACUUAGUCCUAUCAUGAUUUGUUUUUGACAAAAAUGGGGACUAGAGAGAGAAAAAUUAUGUUUCAAUGCUUACCAUAUACUUGUUAUUAAAUUCUCGUCUCAUCUGUUGUUUUUAGGUUUUUGCCUACAUUCUAGACUAACCCUGUUUAUCCCCGUGAACCAACCAGUGAUCUCUGGCUGUAUCUCAGAAGAAACAGACAGAUGGGUAAUAUAAAGAUCUAGAUCAAUAGUCUAGUUCUGGACAAUUAUCCUGCAAAGCCUGCAAGGUGCGGCCAUUAAACUUCAAAUGGUGUUGCUAAUGGAACCAGAUCUGCCCUAGUACGUCACUGAAGAGAGACUAAAGAAAAAAUUGUCUAAUUUCAUAGGACAUUAUAGAUCCUGUGAGUCUUCUAAGGUACCUCCCUGCUUGCUAGGGCAUAGGAAUUUGCACAUGGGAAUCUACAGUCUUUUAUGCCAAGAAACAAUUCCCAGAAAUCAUUUCCUUCUCAAGUGGCUUUCUGGCCUCCCUGGAGCUCAACACAGUUUUUAGGGCUCAAGGUCCCUCUUUCUAUUUAUUUUCUGCUCCCAUCAUUUCUUUAUUUUUCCUUCCUGACCAAGAUGUUUUUUUUUUUCUUUUUUAUUACAGGAACAAAAAGACAUAUUAUUUUCUGCCUGUUCCUUGUGGGAAAAAAUUCAAAUUUUCUAAAUUUUAUAAGGGCUGCAAUUUCCGAAAUAUUCUUCCAUUCAUUCAGGAAGUACUUGAAUAUCUACUAAAUGCCAACCACUCUUUUCUGGAUGUUUAGCAGUAAGCAAAAACAAAGUUAUGCUUGUGGAAAGAAACAAAAAAAAUAAGCAAUUUAAAAAAUAAAUAUAAACCAUAUUCUGAGAAUGCUAAUUUUUGCAUUUUGUAAGGGGAUAAAUGGAGAAAUGCUCACUAAAAAAGUGACAUUUGAGGAGAUACAUGAGUGAAAUACAGAAUUUGGAAAGAAAAAUUAGUAACUGCAACAUCCUUGAUACAGGCUGGAGUUGGCUAGCUUUAUUCAGGAUUAUCAAGAAGGCCAAUAUAAUUGGAGCCGAGAGGGCAAAGGGAGGAAGGAAUAGUUAUAUAAUAAAAACCAAUGUGGACUUCCAGCCUUUUUUGUCUACCUUCACCCCUUUCCAGAGUCAGCACAGAGGUGGCUAUGGAAAAAGAGAAAAAAAAUCUUCAAUAAAAACGGAAAGUAAAAAGAGUGGAAACUAAUAUCUCAAAUGUUUUCUAAACUAACAAAGAUUCCACAGAAUUUCAGACUUUGGACAAAUGUUAUCAUUCUUAUUAGAUGGUCAUUCUUGGAAUUGUUUCUGCUUAGAAUUAUCUGAAAAUGGCACUGCUUGCAGUUCCCUCCCAGUUGAUUCAUAUCAUGUACUUGUUGCAAUGUUAGUCAUCCAGGAAUUUUAUCCUAAUUAUAUCUGCUGCUCCUUUGAUUGCAAUGAAUUUAAUUCACCUUACCUAUUAACUUACUUAAACUCUUUUAGUAUUGUUAAGCCAUUCACAAUAAGCUAAAAGGAAGCUAAAGGUUUGUUUAUGUUCUUUAGUCUAUGCUUAAAAUAACACAUAGACUUUUGCAGGGUCCACAAAACUAUUGUACAAAAGUGCACAAUAUAAAAUUCUUUAAGAAUUUGGGCAGUGUUUAUCCAAAUAUUUGUGAAAUGCAAAGACAUUAUACUUUCUUGUCUUUCAGUGAAUUCACAUAAACAUUAUUAGGCCACCCCUUUAAUUCAUGCAUUAUUGACAAUGUGGUUGAUACUGGUUGAAGAAACAGUCAUUGAGGAAUACUAAAAAUUGUCCUUU
This 2385-nucleotide long non-coding RNA is filed under the name Homo sapiens (human). Its description in RNAcentral is "HSALNT0339211". The record is from RNAcentral. Lineage: Eukaryota; Metazoa; Chordata; Mammalia; Primates; Hominidae.